GACAGAGGUGGCGAGCGUUGUUCGGAAUCACUGGGCUUAAAGGGCGCGUAGGUGGUAGUGCAAGUCUGAGGUGGAAUCUUAGGGCUUAACCCUAAAAUUGCCUUGGAAACUGCAUUACUUGAGUCAGUGAGGGGAGGGUAGAAUUCCUGGUGUAGCGGUGAAAUGCGUAGAUAUCAGGAGGAAGGCCGGUGGCGAAGGCGGCCCUCUGGCGCUGAACUGACACUGAGGCGCGAAAGCGUGGGUAGCAAACAGG
Molecule: ribosomal RNA, 253 nt
Filed under: uncultured bacterium
Lineage: Bacteria
Description: partial 16S ribosomal RNA
Rfam family: Bacterial small subunit ribosomal RNA
Source: RNAcentral